GACGAACGCUGGCGGCGUGCUUAACACAUGCAAGUCGAACGGAAAGGCCCUGCUUUUGUGGGGUGCUCGAGUGGCGAACGGGUGAGUAACACGUGAGUAACCUGCCCUUGACUUUGGGAUAACUUCAGGAAACUGGGGCUAAUACCGGAUAGGAGCUCCUGCUGCAUGGUGGGGGUUGGACAGUUUCGGCGGUUGGGGAUGGACUCGCGGCUUAUCAGCUUGUUGGUGGGGUAGUGGCUUACCAAGGCUUUGACGGGUAGCCGGCCUGAGAGGGUGACCGGCCACAUUGGGACUGAGAUACGGCCCAGACUCCUACGGGAGGCAGCAGUGGGGAAUAUUGCACAAUGGGCGGAAGCCUGAUGCAGCAACGCCGCGUGCGGGAUGACGGCCUUCGGGUUGUAAACCGCUUUCGCCUGUGACGAAGCGUGAGUGGCGGUAAUGGGUAAAGAAGCACCGGCUAACUACGUG
RNAcentral lists this ribosomal RNA (468 nucleotides) under uncultured bacterium. RNAcentral describes it as "partial 16S ribosomal RNA". It matches the Rfam family "Bacterial small subunit ribosomal RNA", at positions 28 to 507 of the family's 1533-position model. The record is from RNAcentral.